Molecule: long non-coding RNA, 397 nt
Filed under: Daucus carota (carrot)
Lineage: Eukaryota; Viridiplantae; Streptophyta; Magnoliopsida; Apiales; Apiaceae
Description: long non-coding RNA (DCAR_LNC007092)
Source: RNAcentral
UUAGUUUGAAAAUAAACAGGUAUGAGCCAAAGAAAUGCUCAGCAAGUAUAACAGAAUGAAAUUGAUAUUUGUUGUACAGCAAUGCCAUAAUAAAGAAGUGAAAAUAUUUAAAACUGCAGAAAUGAAUGUAUAAGCAAAUAUCUCUUGAAGGCAGGAUAACUUCUCUUUAAACUAUUCACAAUUUUAUUGGGCUUUAAAAAUCAUUGGACACCUGGCUAUAACAGAUGAUCAGUCAUGCUAUAGUCCAUAAACCAAGCUUAUUCAGCAAGGUUGACAAAUAUUACGAAUUCCGGUAAUCCGGGCUUAAGGAGCCACCUUUCACGCUGGGCCGGUGCUCGAGCCUCUUACGCAAAAACAACCCAAUAGUUUAAUUUUUAGAACAAUCUGCAGGUCCAUC